CCGCUGAACUUAAGCAUAUCAAUAAGCGGAGGAAAAGAAACUAACAAGGAUUCCCCUAGUAACGGCGAGUGAAGCGGGAAGAGCUCAAGCUUAAAAUCUCCGUGCAAGUUUUGCACGGCGAAUUGUAGUCUAUAGAGGCGUGGUCAGCGUGGGCGCUCGGGGCAAGUUCCUUGGAAGAGGACAGCAUGGAGGGUGAUACUCCCGUUCAUCCCUGAGUUGCUCGUGCGUACGACCCGUUUUCUUUGAGUCGCGUUGUUUGGGAAUGCAGCGCAAAGUAGGUGGUAAAUUCCAUCUAAAGCUAAAUAUUGGUGCGAGACCGAUAGCGAACAAGUACCGUGAGGGAAAGAUGAAAAGAACUUUGAAAAGAGAGUUAAAGAGUACCUGAAACUGCUGAAAGGGAACCGAAUCGUUUCCAGUGUCUAUAAUCCGUGGCAUAUUUCAUUGGCGAGUGUGUGCGUGCGUGUGCUGUGGCAGCGGUCUUUAUGGCUGCGCUCGGCGUGUGUGCUGUGUGUGCUUGCUGGUGCCCUGUGCUGCGGUGGGACGUCAAGGUCAGUUCGUAUGCUGCGGGAAAUGGCUGCCGAGGAGGUAGGGCUUACGCUCCGCGUUUGUCUGUUAUAUCUUGGUGGACGAGUCGUCGCGGUUGGGACUGAGGUGCCUACAACGUGCUUUUGAGUGGGUUUGUGUCUCCGUGUGCGCCGUGUGCGGAUAGCUUGCUAUGCGUGUGUGGUUGUGUGUGGAUUGAUGCGGGCCUUAACUUGUUGCCGUUCGGGACGUUGACGAAAUGGAGCGAUCCGACCCGUCUUGAAACACGGACCAAGGAGUCUAACAUGUGUGCAAGUGUUAGGGUGUGGAAACCCCAGCGCGAAAUGAAAGUGAAGGGCAGCGCAAGUUGUCUGAGGUAGGAAACGUUGUGGGCUUCGGUCUGCGGCGUGGCACUAUCGACCGAUCAUGAACCUUCGUGGUGAAAGAUUUGAGUUUGAGCACAUAUGUUGGUACCCGAAAGAUGGUGAACUAUGCCUGAGUAGGGUGAAGCCAGGGGAAACUCUGGUGGAAGCUCGUAGCGAUUCUGACGUGCAAAUCGAUCGUCAAACUUGGGUAUAGGGGCGAAAGACUAAUCGAACCAUCUAGUAGCUGGUUCCCUCCGAAAUUUCCCUCAGGAUAGCAGCAACUUAUUUACGAUAGUUUUAUGAGGUAAAGCGAAUGAUUAGAGGAUUCGGGGAAGAAACUUCCUCGACCUAUUCUCAAACUUUAAAUCUGUAAGACCUGCAGGUUUCUUAAUUGAACUUGUGGAUGUGAAUAUCAAGUUGCUAGUGGGCCAUACGGGGUAAGCUCGUCUGGCG
RNAcentral lists this ribosomal RNA (1340 nucleotides) under Phytophthora psychrophila. RNAcentral describes it as "eukaryotic LSU rRNA". It matches the Rfam family "Eukaryotic large subunit ribosomal RNA", at positions 25 to 1155 of the family's 3401-position model. The record is from RNAcentral. RNAcentral also lists the same sequence under 1 other name. Lineage: Eukaryota; Oomycota; Peronosporomycetes; Peronosporales; Peronosporaceae.